Molecule: non-coding RNA, 78 nt
Filed under: Candidatus Omnitrophota bacterium
Lineage: Bacteria; Pseudomonadati; Candidatus Omnitrophota
Description: Omnitrophica WOR c-di-GMP sequence
Rfam family: c-di-GMP-I-GGC riboswitch aptamer
Source: RNAcentral
GACGAAAAUGGCAAACCUGGGGCAACCCAGGGACGCAAAGCUAAAGGGUCCAAAGAAAUGGAUAGCCAGUUGCCGAAU